This 460-nucleotide ribosomal RNA is filed under the name Salmonella enterica subsp. enterica serovar Anatum. Its description in RNAcentral is "bacterial SSU rRNA". It matches the Rfam family "Bacterial small subunit ribosomal RNA", at positions 338 to 795 of the family's 1533-position model. The record is from RNAcentral. Lineage: Bacteria; Pseudomonadati; Pseudomonadota; Gammaproteobacteria; Enterobacterales; Enterobacteriaceae.
CCUACGGGUGGCAGCAGUGAGGAAUAUUGGUCAAUGGGCGGAAGCCUGAACCAGCCAUGCCGCGUGAAGGAAUAAGGCCCUACGGGUCGUAAACUUCUUUUGACGCGGAGCAAUAAGGUCCACGCGUGGACCGAUGAGAGUACGCGUAGAAUAAGCAUCGGCUAACUCCGUGCCAGCAGCCGCGGUAAUACGGAGGAUGCGAGCGUUAUCCGGAUUCAUUGGGUUUAAAGGGUGCGUAGGCGGCCGAGUAAGUCAGCGGUGAAAGACCGGGGCUCAACCCUGGAAGUGCCGUUGAUACUGUUUGGCUGGAAUGAUCCCGCCGCGGGAGGAAUGAGUGGUGUAGCGGUGAAAUGCAUAGAUAUCACUCAGAACACCGAUUGCGAAGGCAUCUCGCGAGGGGUCAAUUGACGCUGAGGCACGAAAGCGUGGGGAUCGAACAGGAUUAGAUACCCCUGUAGUC